Molecule: long non-coding RNA, 40038 nt
Filed under: Setaria italica (foxtail millet)
Lineage: Eukaryota; Viridiplantae; Streptophyta; Magnoliopsida; Poales; Poaceae
Description: long non-coding RNA (SITA_LNC004358)
Source: RNAcentral
UCCAAAGAUUCAACAUUCAGUUAACACCAACCAUUCUGACUACAGCACAACCAGGUUGCAGUCUUGAACGACCAUAACACUAACCAGUUCAGAACCAAAUUAUCAUUCCCGCAUUUUCACUGGUAGCAGAGCAGCAGCACUUGCUUCAGUUUUUGAAGCUGCCAUGAUCCCUUUCGUCCCAUCGUCAGAUGGUGCCAUCCUCACCAGCUCCAAGGAUAGUGCUAGAAAAGGAAGACAACGUCACAUUUUUAAUCAACCCAAUGCAAAAACAGAAAACGAAAAUAAGCAAGAACAUUACACGCAAUUGAGAAUUUCUCCAUCAGUAUAAAAGAAAACUAGAAUAGGCAAUACACCAAGAGGAGCAUUAGAGUGAAGUACCUUCCAUCAAAAGACACUGCAGUCUGCCUUAUUGGUGAUCUGCAUUGCUGAUUAUAUAGCCUGAAAAUGAUACAGUAUUUGCAUCCAGAAGCAUAAGAGUUACUAAUACGCAGCACCAAUAAAAGUGGAGGACAAGAAUAACUGAAAUUCUUGCAUUAAAAAUUACCGGGGCAAUUAGGACAGGAGGGCUGGACUGUACUUCCCACACAUAGAUUUUGCCUUCACGAUUUCCUGUUUGAAGCGGAGGACGAUUAAUCAGCAAACGUUUCUAUGAAAAUCCAGUCAUAUAUUUUAAGUGUGAACAUUUUGCCGUGCCAAAACCUCUUUAUAACUUCUGGUGCGUGAAAUUUACAAAUCAAUAACUUAAAUAUAACUUUUAUGUCAGAAAACAGCCCAGAUGAUAGAUAUUACUUAUUGCCAACUGAUUGAAGUGAAAAUCGCACGAAAAUUUUAUAAACCAGAUGUCACACUCUGGCACAGGGUACUUCUGAAGAAUAUCGAUGCUUCCCUAUAUGAGGAAAGAGAAAGUCAUAUUACUUCAGAGGAAUGGGCAGUCAAUGACUAGAAAUCAAAGAAACCGCUGGAAGUUAAAUUUAAGAAAAGUUCAAUUCGAGAAAAGUUCAAUUCAAGAAAAGUUAAAUUGUAUCACCUCCCCAGGACUUUGUUCUUUUGUUUUUGGUUCCCAAAGGACAAUUUCAUUAUCAACACUCUGCAAAUCCAAGCUAGCAUAGAUCAGAUCCCUCAUUAUACAGGAACCAAAACUGGCACUGGGAAAAAAAGGUUGAAAGACUGAACCCAUGCACAGUACAAGAAUACAGGAUCCAGAUACAGUGGUAUUUUGAAGCAUCAAAAGAAUGACGACUGUACUACUACUAUAGCAGCAAUUUGUAUCCAUUUAAGGGAAGGAAUUUCACCUUUGACAGGAUGAAGUCACCAAGCCAUCUUGUACAAUCAACAUAGUUAGAGUGUACUGAAGCAAUCAACACCUGCAAGGAAAGAAACAGGUUGGUUUGAUGGCAUGAGGAUUAAACACCAACAGUAGUUUGCAAAGGAAUAGAUCUAAGAUGAUUAUAGAUGCUAAACAUACCGGAAACUGGACAUAUUUUGUUGGAAACUUUGAUGGAAGGUCAGUCCAGGAAUAUGAUUUGUCAACAUAUUGCCAAAAUUCUGUGACAACAUUGGGAAACUCUAUCAAUGAUAUGCAGCAUGCAAAUGUAAACAUGAUGCUACUUUGAAGUAGUUUUCCAACCUUUCAUUGACCAGAUUUUCACAGUGUUGUCCAUGCCACAACUUGCAAAACGCUCAAUAUCACUAGGGUGGAAGUCCUUCAGCCAAAAUAAUGUAUUUUGAUCAGUACAUUUAUGCCUAACGUAAUGGAAGUACAAAAGCCGUAGUAGUCGCCAGAACUAUAUUUAUCCCUGAUGUAAUGCUCAAUAACAAACAGUAACAUCAGAAGCUGAAAGAGUGGUAGCUUGAGGGCACUUUGAGCAAGUAAUAUUCUGAAACAAUACCAUAAGAGGAGGCAGGAGCUACUUACAACACUCAACACUUCAUUGCGAUGACCUCCAGCUCCGGCAAAUACCAAGAUGCAGAUCCCUGUAUGGAAUCCAUAGCCUAACAGAUUCAUCCUAUUCAAUAAUGAAUAAUGCCAUAUGAAACAGUGUCAGAACAAUUAUAACAAAGUACAUUCAGCCUAAGAACAGGUUAUCUGCUAACCUUGCUUGCAGAAAUGAUGAGCGAAGGCUACGCUUGAGUCCUUAUCUCAUUUAUUGAGUCACCAUGGACAACAAAGCUCUGUAGAAUUCCAUAAACAGAAAUAACAAAUAAACACGUGCACAGUCUAAUUCAUAGGAUAGGAUAGUAUUUAUUGGCAUGCCCAGUCUCCUGACUAUAUGUAUAACGCCAAAAUAGAUACACUAGGUUGAACGUGUCUUGACUAUAACGGACAUGCUGAAGUAUCCAAAAACCAGAAUCUUCUGUGAGCAAAAGUUACAGUUUGCUAGUGGUAUUAAUGCAUAGCAAACAGACAAUUCCUUAAUCAAACCAAAUUCAAAUGACCUUCUGGAUCGGAUAUCAUAGAUGGUAUCUGUCAGGUAAGCAACUGAUGUACAGAUUUAUGCAAAUGAAGCUUCAUUCAAGUUUGACGUAGGAACAAAGACAAGGCUAGGGGUACUAUACCUUAGCUAACUUCUCCGUAGCGCAGUUGAUGACCCGAAUGAUCCCAUUGCUUCCUGCUGCUCAAUGACUCCAUUCUUGGUGACCAGUGUGGCAUCCAAUGUAUCAAUCAGCUCUUCCUUCUUCUUGAGCAAGGCGUUCUUCUCCUCUAUCACUCUGUCCCUAGCCUUCAGUGCCUCCUCCAUCCAAACAACUCUCACCUCCAGCGUGGCAAUCCUCAGCGAGUCCCUCUCGUCGUAGGUGUCCGGUGCAGUGUCCACCUCGUGUUGUAGGCGACGGUUCGUCUGGUCCAGGUCAGUCAAAUAGUGCUCAAGUCCCAUUAUCUUGCCCUGAAGUAUGGCAUUGGUACCGAUGCAGUUGUCCCAACCAUUGUGAAGUACCUCCACCUCUCUGUCAUUCCAGAACAGCGCUAAGUCCUGAGCGUGAAUACAGCGGGAGGCCACGCAAAACUUCUCGUUGGGCUCUGCAUAUGUGUCCUCGUAGUACUGAUGGGCUAAACUCUCGAAAUCCCUCGGCCCACGGCAAGCCCUGGUUAGGCAACGGUAGGGAGUCUGAGCCAACCUGUCACGGAGCUGCGCAUGCACCUCACACACAGCCCUUCUGGCGGCAGUCCGGUGAGCCUUUGACACUGACAGCUCAAACCCAAGUAGAAGAAUAAGCAAAGUCUAGUCAGAAAUAGCGGUAGUCAACAGCACUGUCCAUAACUAGUGGACACGGAUUAUAGCUACAACUUUAUACACUCUAUAGAGGAUGUACAGCUGUACCUGCACGGAUGGAGUCUAAAUGGUGGCGAUCUGUUGAAACCCCACCGAACAGCCAGAGCCCUAGUAGGUGGAUAGCUAUCUCAUAUUUCGACGAGUCUGGAAUCAUCCGCAGCUGCAGGGCACACCGUCACCAGUAAGGACCUCGAAGCUAUGAAACCUACCCACGCCAGGGUGUAGUCUGGUCAGAGCAAGCCAACGCCUUAAACUCAUUACAUGAUCCUCCAAUCCGCCUAGAGGCUGAGCACUAUCCACCACUAGUCUCGGACCGAACCCUGCCCAUAACGUAAGCGAGCGGUAUGUAAGUAAAAUAGCUGUUGUGACUAGUGGUAAACUGACUUGGUGCUUAAGCGGUUGAGAGCGAGCACUCUACUCCACAAGUAUAUGCCGAAACACAUGCAACAUACAAGUACGCCACCUGCUCCUCAGUAACAAACAAGGUACCUGCCACAAGUACGGGGUAUAGAGAGAGUCCAGAAUGCUCUCUCCUAGCAAGGCACUCCUUAGUACUAACCAUGGCGCUCCCGCCAAAACAUAUCAAGGAGUCACACUCACCCAAAACUCAAGCGAGAGUGUUCAAUGAAUCCUAUCACCAAAAUCAUAGCAUAUGCUCAUCCAUAACUCAAAAGCAUGUAUAUGGAUAUAUGAGCGGUGGACUAGCUAGGGGUCUAUAGCUAGUCCACAAAAGUAGGUAACAAGGAAAACAUGAUACAAAAUUAUCAAGGCAUGGCUUAAAACAUUGGCUAUGCAAUUCAACAUCAUCAAGCAUCAUAAAUAAAGCACUAGCAACUAAGCAUGCAUAUAAUCUAUGUGAUUGGGAGUGACAUGGCACCUUGUUCGUAGUUGUUUGGAUCUUCCUCAGCAUAGUCGGAGUCUUGAGGGUCUUCCGGGUCAUAGCUCGGGUCUGAACAGACCGAGAUAUGAUAUAAAAUAAAUUAAACGGCAUUACAACUAGAAAAAAACUCCAAGAAAGCUAAAUUUAGCAGAUCCAAAUAACACCAAACUAGUUACAAACAACACGGGCUCCAUUUUACGAAUUUAAUGCAACUGGUUCCAUAUUUUUCGCAGUUAAAAUGAAUUAGUUAUGAAUUUUUAAAGAUUAAAGGAUUUAUUUAAUUAUUUAAAUAAUUUUAGAAAAUAUUUAUUAUUACGGUGACACAUGUCAGUGCCUGGUUGUGCCAUGUGGGAGCAUAAGAGUGCGCCACGUGUCUCCUAACGCCAAGCUGACGUCAGCGUUGACCGGUCAACUAGGCCCCACCAGUGGGUCCGUGCCUCGGACAUGUCAACGUCGCGUGGCUCCACGUGGCAGCCACGUGGCCAUCUAGUCUACGUGGCACUGCCACAUGGCGCACACGUGGUCGUCCCCAGCUGGCCGGGAUCCGCGCGCCACCCGGAUCCCGUCCGCCACCCACGUGUAGCCACGGGUGUGGCGCAGGCCUGAUUGGCGGCAACGCAGCGGUGAUCGUGCCCACGACAUCAUGGUGUGGCACGACGUCACGGCGCGGCUGCUGCACGUGUGCGCGGGCAGGAGGCAGUCCCCGGCUGCGGCACGACCGCGGCGGUGUGCGGGGUCCCAGGCCCGCGGUGGCUGGCAGCGAGGCAAGCGGCGGCACUACUACCGUGGCUUGAAGGCUGGGCAUACGACAAGCAAACAAGAGGAAAGAGAGGGGCAGCGAGGUUCACUGCAGGGAGACGGCGAAAGCGGGUGGCGUCGGGUGGUGGUCGACAGCUCAGGCUCCUCCCUUAGAUGGCCCCUCUUCUUCUUCUUCUCUUCUACUUCCCCUCCUCCUUCUCUUUCCUCCUCUUCUCCUACUCCUCCCUCCUCCUCUACUCCUUCCCCAUUCUCUCACUCAGGUGGUUGAUGGCGCAAGGGCGAAGCCCCGAGUGGAUGGCGAGGAGAGGCCCCGGGCGGCUCUACUUAUAGCGGAGAGGCGGCUAGGGUCCCGGAGGGAGGUUGCGGUGGCACUUUAGGGUUUGGGGGCAUGGCGUUGGUGAUGUGGAUGGCUGGGAUGUGGUGUCGCAUGGUGCGGGCGACGUGGUGGCCGUACGAGGCCGCCAGCGCAAAAGCAAGGGCACGGGCGAGGUCACGGGUGCGCACGCGAGGCACGCGUGAGCGGUACGGCCGGAGGAAGAAGGAAGAGGACCAGGGGCACCUGACGGGCAGGUCCGGUGCGGCAGCGAGAGAGAAAGAGAGGGAGAGCGGGGCAUGGGUGGCAACUGCGGGCUGGGCCAGCUGGCCGGUUAGGAGGCUUGCUGGGCUGGUCACUGAGCUGCGCGGGCGAGGUGGCAGAGCAGGCCAGGCCGGCUGUCUGGCUAGGCCGGGGCGAAGGUAGGUGAGGGUGAGGCGCGAGCGGGCCAAGCCGGUGGGCUGCGGCUAGCCUGGUUGGUUAGGAGGGUUAGAUAGGUUUUGUUUUUAUUUAGAUUUAGAUUUAGUUUGAGUUUUGAAUCAGAUUCAAAAUUCAAACACACACUCAAACAUGAGAUCCAAAUAAAAUCUAAAAAGAUCCAAAUCGUUCCACACAAGUUUUGAAAUGGAAUUUUGGGACGAGAAGAGAAUUUGACUACCAUUUUCAAACGAGCACACAAUUCAAACAAAAGUUUUAAAUUUUUGGAAAUUUCACUUAAAUAAAUAUUACAAAAUUCUAGAAUAUUACAAACAUAACCGCUUCAGCUCGUACCCUGAGAAAAGCGAUACGAAGCUUAACACUCCUCAACAUCUGGGAAAUUUGGUCAGAACGAAACUCUAGAUUUUUCGGACUGUGUGAGUCAUCCUUGAUUUCCUUGGUGGCAAAAUUAAAAAGGAAGCUUAAGUUUUGUAGGUCUUUUGAAUUAAACCAACUUGGUAAGCUAUCACCCCAAAAGCCAUGGGCAUUCAAUUCUCUCAUUAGAGCACAAGCCAUCGAUCACUUCAUUCUUUCGAAAACUCUGGGAUUAGUUCGCCAGUUCAGCUCUAUUUCCAUGAGGUAUUUCUUGUCAACGAGUCUAGCCUCAGCAGCCUGUUCCUUGCUCCUCACAGUAUGGAUAGAUUUGAUGCAUAGCAUUCCGCUAAGCUGAUUCAUGCCCUUCAGCUCACCAAUUGCCCCCCUCCGUGCUUCAACUGUGAAAUAUCUCAAGUUCCUUUGAUAAGUCAAUAGAGGCUUUUACUGGAAGUGCUAGUUGACGCAAGUUGAUUAGCUUUGUUACAUCCUGACGAAUUGUUCUCAGACAUGAACCAAAUGCAACAACAACUUGUAGGCUGUUAAGGCACCAGAAUUUCGAUGGCACUUCAUUUAUAUUGCUGUAGGAUAUAUCAAGAUAUCGGAGGCUAUUCAACCCACAUAUGCUUUGGGGUAGACUUUUCAGCUUGCAACCUUUUAGGCUCAAAAACAGGAUGUUAGAAAGCUGACUGAACCAGGUGAUCUCAACAUCCAAUUUGGUACCAAGCCUAAGUGAACGCAAUUUGUUCAAAUUUUGAAUGUUUGUCAUUGUGCUCAAGGACUUACCAUCCACCUCGACUGACAUGUGGCGAGGUUUAUUUGUCAUUCCGCUCAAAUCUUUCAUCGAGAAACAUUCAUGGAUAGUAACAUACUGCGCAGUAUCAUGGAUCAGGUCAUGCAUUACGUAUUUAUCUUGAUUAGGGAACUUUGGAUCAGUUUGGAAAAGACACCUGCCUCUCAAAUCAUCCAAAUAGUUCAUCCCGACAUCUUCAAGACGCUUGCUCACUUGUGGUGAAACAAAGCCCUCUGCCACCCAAAUGUCAACGAUCUCAUGUCUUUUGAAGCUAUAAUCUUUCGGAAAUAUAUAUGGAGCAAAAUGCAAAGCAUCUCCUAAGUUCAGUUGGGAGGUACAAGUAGCUCAGUCGAAGUGCUGGUAAUAUCUCGCCAUCUUUUUGUUCUUGCUCCCAUAAUUCACUGUCCUUGAUAGUCCUCCAAUGUUGCUCAGUCAGAUUACUAUUCAACAAGCGUCCGAGAGUUUUGGCAGCCAAAGGAGUACCAUGCAACUUAGAGGAAAUGCUCUGACUCUGGGCACUCUUUACCAAACGCACAUUUCUCGAAAAAUUCCCAAAAUACACCAGCGGGCAAUCCUUCGAGCUGGACAGGCUUACAACUGCAUCUGGACCAUGCGGUGACAUUCUGAGCAAUGUUUUUGGGUCUUGUAGUCACUAAGAUCAUGCUACCUUCAAGUCCAUUCUUCAACGGUGCAUAUAAAAAGACUCCCAUUGUGGUAAUCUCCCAAAUAUCAUCCAGCACCAAAAGGAACUUUUGGAUCUUCAGCAUAUGCUACAGAUUUGCUUCAAGAACACCUAAACCACAAGACAAGUCGAAGUUUGGCUGGAUGGUCUUGAUGAUCUCCUUUUUCAUCCUUUCAAUGUCAAACAGGUCCGAAACACAGACCCGUAUCCUUACAGUAAUAAAGUGGCCUUUCACUCUUUCAUCACUGUAGAUGAACUGAGCCAGGGUGGUCUUCCCCAUCACGCCAAUGCCAAAAAUUGGCAAGACAGAAACAUUGCCACAGUUAGCAGUCUCAGCAAGCACUGCACUGCUGUAAGAGAUGGGCCUCCACCAUGCCCCACUCGCUGCGACUGAUGAGCAAGCGAGCUGUGAGCAGCUUGGUCUUGAGUUGGUCCAGCUCGUUUUCCAGCUGGGUCGGCGCUUGGCUCAUGCUCAUCCCGAAUAACAGGAUGCCUUGCACGGUGUCCAUGGUCGCGCGCGCUCCUAGAUCUUGGUGCGUUGGUGGAGCUCCUCCUCCUCCUCCUCCUGCUUGGCACUCGAUCAAGCAGGGCAGGGGCAGAAGCGAGCGAUUACCUGAUGAUGGUGCCACCGAUUACUGGCCUUCGCCCUCCCACCGCCGGACUGGUGAUUUUCACCGGAGGGAUCGUAAGAGAGAUCGGGCAGAGAGGUGGAGGAUCAAAUUGCGUGUGCACCCAACGUGGAAUGGCGCUGGAUAUAUCUAGCUAGAUGGUUGCAUGCCCUGCCGAUCUGGGCAAUCGGUAUUGCAUUUGCAGAUUUGCUUCGGUUUCAUCGAUGAAACGGGAAGACAGUGAGAGCACCGAAUGAAGAUGACACGAGUUCGGCGUUGGUUUCUUCGAUCGGUCCUGUCUUGGGUUCCAUCGAACUUGAUCGAGCUGUCUUGAGGCCGGCGGAGUAACUAAGAGAUCCAUUAUUCAUCGGGAUAAGCUAGGAUCGCAUGGGCUCGUUGCGGCUGCGGGCGCGGACCACCAUCUCUUCCUGCCCGCCGCCGGCGGCCGACGAGUGCAAGACUGGUAGGUUUAGGAGAGGAAAGGUCAAAAGGCGUGAGCUGUGAAGGAAUGGACCUGGCAUCUGGGUGCGGCUUGUGUUGUAUCUUGAGCCGGUUGGGCCGGGGUGGCGACUGAGUCCAGUAGUAGUGAAUUUUUUUAUUUUUUAUUUUGGUAUUUUGUAAAAAUAUAUAGUCGGAUGAAAAAAUUGUAAAAUUAGGCUAUUGUCACUGGCUGGACCGACGGUAAGGCGCUUCCGCCGGCCCAACCGCCCCCUGGGCCGGCGGAAGGGCCUUACCGCCGGCCCAGCCGGCGGCGGUACACCCCUCCAUACCACAUUUUCAAAAAAUCAUAACUAAUUCAUAUCAGCUCGGAUGGAGAUAAAAUUUAUAUAAAACUUGUAGAUCUCGAUGAGAUCUACAACUUUGUAGUUAAAAUAUUUUUCAUUUGAUGUCAUAUUGGUGCUCAAAUAAUCGACACAAGUUUCAGAUCUAAAAUUCAAUUUUUAGAUGUGAAAUUGGGCAGCACACUUUCCGCCCAGCUGGCGACCUAGCCUUACCGCCGGCAGCCGGCGACCUAGCCUUACCGCCGGCAGCCGGUGACAAUAGCCUAGUUUUGCAAUUUUUUCAUCAGACUAUUUUUGCAAAAUGUUAAAAUAAAAAAAUAAAAAAAGUCCAGCACUAGUCCACCAAAUGAGACAAGUUCCGGACCUACUCGGUGGUGGUUUUGUUGGCUGCAAACUGAUGGGCCUCGUGCCUUUGACUGCGAAGAAGACGGCGACGCAAAAGCAUUUUUUUCCCAGCAGCUUUGAAACGGUCGCCCGCGGACAGCAAGCAAGCGAUCGCGAGCCUGACCGCUGAACUGUAACAGGGAUCCAUGCUUUCCGGCAACACCCAUCGGUGCCAGGCUUACCCACCAGUACACCUGGCACCUGCUGACUGUCCAUCUCCAAACCUCCAUCACAAGACAGAGGUCGUCAAUGGCUUCUUCGGUUUGCAACAGCACAGUGGACAAGAAAAGCAGGGGCAAAGCUACAUUGGGCUAGCUAGGAGGCCUGCUAGGCUGGUCGCUGGGCUGCGCAGGCGAGGCGGCGGAGCAGGCCAGGCCGGCUGUCUGGCUGGGCCGGGGCGGAGGCGAUGAGGGUGAGGCGUGAGCGGGCCAAGCCACUGGGCUGCGGCCGCCCUUGUUGGUUAGAGGGUUAGAUAGGUUUUGUUUUUAUUUAGAUUUAGAUUUAGAUUUAGAUUUAGUUUGAAUUUUGAAUCAGAUUCAAAAAUUUUGGAAUAUUACAAACAUAAAAUCCAAAUAUAAGAUCAAAUAUGAGAUCAAAAUCAGAUUCAAAAUUCAAACACACACUCAAAUAUGAGAUCCAAAUAAAAUCCAAAAGAUCCAAGUCAUUCCAUGCAAGUUUUGAAAUGGAAUUUUGGGAUGAGAAGAGAAUUUGACUACCAUUUUCAAACAAGCACACAGUUCAACCAAAAGUUUUAAAUUUUUAAAAAUUUCACUCAAAUAAAUAUUACAAAAUUUUGGAAUAUUACAAACAUAACCACUUCACCUCGUACCCUGAGAAAAGCGAUACGAGCUUAGCACUCCUCAACAUCUGGGAAAUUUGGUUAGAACGAAACUCUAGAUUUUUCGGACUGUGUGAGUCCUCCUCGAUUUCCUUGAUGGCAAAAAUUAAAAAGGAAGCGGCUGCUUGGGUGGGGGCAGGGGCCAAAAACCUAAUGGAACUUUUAGCGCAGUAAUUUUUUUUUGUUACUCUUUAGCUAUUAGCCUAACUCUUCUUCUUUAUCAAUAAAAUAGGCAUAAUCUUAUACCCAUUGGUUUUUUCUAACAAUAUUUUCCAUGGAUGGAAACAUUAACGUAAGAAGAUAUACAAGUAACAACCUAUUUGAGACUUCAGUAGUGUUCAUACUAUACCAUACUAGUAGUAACAGUAGCAUUAAGCAGCCAGCUUACAUUGAACAACAGAGCACAAUACUUGUGUCAGUAUAAAAAAAGACUUGUGUAAAGCCAGCUACACAAGUUAGCUCGCAUUUCAUAAUUAAGUUUCAGAUUUCGUGCAAGGCCAGAUACUUUAGCACUGCGCUCUUGAUGUACCGAAAGGAAGAUUAACAUAUAAGUACAAUACCGAAGUAAUGACUAUGGAAAUAGGCUUAGAAAUACAACUGGAAGCUAGGUACAGUGCAAUAAACCUUAGUGCCUCAUCAUAGCUCCCUUAGCUUCCAGGAAAGUAUAAUGCUGUAUUUGCAGAGAAAAAAAAUAUCACCUUCUAGUGGUGAUCAAGUACGCGAGACUCUUGCAGUUGCAAUAGAAACGUCUGCCAAACCGGUCCCAUUUGACCACAAUAGCAGCUGCAAAGCCAACGCCGAAGCCAAGCCCAACGAAGAGAAACAAAACCACAUCAAUAUGACGAGAAGACUUGUCCCCAUGUGCCACACCUGGAGAGUGAGGUGAACUACCACAAGGAAAUUUUGGCAAUUGCAGCCCACACAAUCCAGCAUUCCCUUCAAAUGAGCUGCUGUCAAAUGUAGAGAACUGACGUGACUGCGGUAUCUUCCCCACCAAGUGAUUGUAUGACAAGUUUAGGGAGCCAAGAAAGGUGAGAUCAGUUAGCUCUUGUGGAAUGUCCCCUGAGAGUUGGUUGCAGGACAGGUCUAGUGACUCCAAAUCAGUCAUGCUUCCAAGUUGGGCUGGAAUUUUUCCAGUGAAGGCAUUGUGUGACAGACUCAGUACGCGUAGUGAUACAAGGCUUCCAAAUGUUUCAGGAAUAGUACCCUCCAAACUAUUUUUUGAGAAGUCAAUUGCUGUUACGGUAGUCAGCAUCCUUCCAAAUGGCAUAUCUGCCCCCUUGUACAUGAUCUCAACAGAAUAUUGAUAUGAAUGUUCUCUGUCAUUGACAUUUAUAGUGUUUAGAAUUUCGAGAGUUUUCCCAGAACUAUUAAACUCUGCCAUCAUUGACUUUAACUGCUUGAACCAUUGUGGCCUCAAAGUACCAGAGAAAUUGUUUGAGGCAAGAUCGAUAAUUUGCAAGCUAGGGAAACAUUCCUCACGUUUUGUGUCCCCAACAAUAUCACCUAUGGUGCCAUACAUUUGGUUUGAUCUCAGGACGAGUACAGAAAGCUUGGGAAGCCCCCUCAACCAAGAAGGAAAAGCAUCAGCUAUUUUGUUGCUUCCAAAGUCUAUAACCUCCAAGUCUGUACAGUUAGAAAGGCCCCUAGGAAGCCUCCCUUCGAUCUUAUUGCCAUGUAAAUCUAUCAUCUGUAAAGCACAUCUUGUUGUUAUAUUGGAAGGCAGCAUCCCUUUCAAGCGAUUCUCCCUCAAAUUUAAAACACCGCUGGGGAUAUUUUCUAUAAAACAAGGUGGAAUCGGGCCAUUAAAGUAGUUAUAUGAUAGAUCAAGGACAUCCAGGUAUAUUAUUUUUGGAUAUGCUGAGAUAAACGGUGUCCCGAAGAUAGGAGGUCCAGUUUGGCAGAAGGGAAGAGAACAUGUUGUUGGAAUAAUCCAAGACAUCUCCUGAUAAUUUUGGCAUAGGGAUCAUCCCUGAAAGUCUAUUGAAACUAAGAUCAAGCACUCCGAUUGAUGUAUUGAAAGGGACAACAUCCGAAUUAAGUUGCAUGCCCGUGAACAUGUUAUGUGAAAGAUUCAAAUGAGAUUGCACAACAUUCCAUGUCUUCUCCCAGAUCCAAUUUGGUAUAUCCCCACUGAUUUUAUUACAUGAAAGAUCCAAAUACGUUAUACAGUCAACAUGCCUCAAAAAUCUUGGAAAUUGAGUUAUCUUGCAAGAUGCGAGCCCUAAUUCACCUAGUCCAGCCAAAUAGCUGGUUUCCACUGGAUUAUUAUCUUCUGAGGCCAUGACAUGCAACUUAUUGUAGGAAAGAUGCAAAACAGUGAGGUAAGUUAAUCUCCGAAAAUGUGCAAGGUCCACGGAACCUAUCAAGUUGUUUGAGCUAACAUCUAUACAUACUAAACUUGUUAGUUGAAAGAUGGCUUUGGGAAUAAAACCUGACAAUUCAUUGUUCUCGAACCUCACGGUCUCCAACUGUGGACCUGCCUUGUCAAAGCCUUGUAUAGGGCCAGAAAGCUGGUUGAAAGAGAGAUCAAGGUGAUUUAAUAUAGGAAGACUGAAAAUGGAUGGUGGAAUCUCCCCUGGAAGAACAAUAGAAAACAUUAGGUUAGAAAGUGUUUCCCCUUCUACAAAUUAAAAUCAGAAGAUGCUACCUCCUAUUUUGUUCAGAACAUGAAUACUUGACCCUUUCUCGAGAAAAGUAAAAGUUGAUAUCGUACCAUAGAAAUAUAUAUCCCAAGUUUAUUUAUUUUAUUUUGAGAAAAUUGCAUUACUAGUCUCUAAAUAAAUGGCCAAAAGUUGUGUGGUAACCUCGCCGACCCUUGCACUUGUUGCAAAUUACUUUCCCCAACCCCCUCGUCUUUGUUGUGCCACGUGUUAGGCAAUGGUUUGAUGCUGGUUCAACACAUUAAUUUGCUAAUAGUGGGGUGGGUGAGAUUAGUGUGCAAGUUUAAGGACUACCGGAAGAAUUUAGUGCACCUACGGACCAUAGAAUUUCAUAAUCCUAGGACCCAUGAAGCUGAAAUGAUCCGGACCCAUCAUGGAUCAUAAAAUGUAUUAUGAUUUAUGAUACCCGGUGUAUAGUCCUGUACCAUCAUAAAGAAUUGGUAAGAUCACUUAUAUAGGAUCCCGAUCCAAACAUAAACAUUUGUUAAUAUCUGAAAUUAAGUAAAUCCAUGAGUAAUUAUAUAAUGAGUAAUUAUAUAAGUUUCUUCAGUUUAAUUCGACAUCUUUUACUCUUUGCAUGACAUCUGACCAUUAAAUUGUUUUAAAUUAUGAUAAUGUUUGGAGUUAAGUUGAAAUGUCGAAUUGACAUUGACAUGAAUAAGUGGACUCGAGUUUAUAAGAAUUAAUAAAUUUAUAAAAAUAGCAUUGUAGAUUUCUUUUCAAGAACUUGUUUAACUUUUUAAUAUAUGCAUUUUUUACUCAUUACGCUGCAAAAUCCUCCCCCAAAGUUCUUGACACAGUGUCAAACUCAUUUGUUGUGUUUAACCUCUUACAAUGAUCUAUAUAAGCUGCCAGCUUUUGUAUAAGAGGGCCGGGGUUAGAGAAGUAUAUCGUGUCAACUGCGCCAAAGAAAUUCUUUUAGAGUAAACUAGAGCAAAUGAAAAGCUUUAUGAGCCCUAAUACCCAUUUAAGAUUUCCAUUGUCCUUUCUACCCUGUCAAAUGAACACUCAAGCUCAUAUAGAAGCAACAUGUGUGGUUGUUGCAUCAAGAAGGAACCUUAAGGGAGGAUUUUGCAAUGGGGUUAGGCUUGUGGGUUCGUUAGGCCCUUCACACAACGUGUGCUUGGAGUAUCGCUUGAAAUGGAGAGAGGAGGUUUGGGCAUUGAUCACUCCCCAAGUGGCCAAGUUGAAACCAGGAGCAGCACUGUGACAGAACAAAACAAAUGCCAACUUUUCUCACAUGGGCCUCGACUUUUUUUCCUAGAGUCACUCCACAUAGUAGAGGCCUUAAUGCAACUAUUUUUCUUUUAGGGGAUAAUUGCAACUCAAGAUGACUACUAGGAGCUUGAGCCAUGCACACAUGCGUUAGUGGCAAGCUUGCAACUACUCUGAGCAGAGGAGGGCACAGUUGCAGCUUGCAAGGCCCACGGUGUGGAGUAGUGACGCUUAGGGAUGCAAACAGGUUAGAAGGGCUGGAUCAUGUUGGCAACUCGUGGUGUGGAGUAGUGACGCUUAGGGAUGCAAACGGGUUAGAAGGGCUGGAUCAUGUUGGCAACUGUGGAAUAGACUAUAAGUGGGUUCGCAGGCUAGCCCACUUGAUUUGCAGCAAUAUAUUAUGGUGGAGGGAUGUCCUUGACCUGUUACAUGCCUUUACAAACUAAGGUCAUGUUAGCAUAUCCUUACUCCCCAAUCCAACUACCGUAUUGGGAGGGUUAAUGAAAAAUAGUAUUCCAACAAACCAAUAAUCCACCCUAACUUAUCCUUAAAAAAGAGUAUCUCAAUACGGUAGUUUGGAUUGUGAUUAUUGGGGAACUGCAAAAACAACUUUUCCAUUAACCAUAAAAGAAAUAUUGGGACAUUUCCAUUAGCUUAUUAGAAAAAAUUGAUUGGGAAACUGCUGAAGAUGCUCUAAGAGAUCCUCAAGUUGGCGUGUGACUGCACACGUGGUGGGGGCAGCACAAGCAGCCCAAUAUGACCUAAUUUUAGCCCAAGUUAGGUUUAGUUGUGGCCCAACUAACGUCCAUGUUCUAUUUUUUUCCUUUCUUCAUUCUCUUUGGUUUUACAUUUUCUUGUCAUUUUCUUUAAUUAUUUCCUUUUAUAUUAUUUUGCAUAUUAUUUUAUUUCCUUUAUAUUUAUUAUUCGUUUCUAUUUUUGUUUUGUUUUCUUUUCUGUUUUCUUUUUCUACUAGGAAAUUCUAACUUUUCAUUUCUUUUAUUGUUUCCAUUUUUAUUAUCUUUUAUGCUUCUUUUCUUUUUUAUUUUCAGUAAUAAAUUUUUGUAUAUUUUGUUUGCUAGUAAGAAUAAUUUAUUCAAUUAGUUUUCAUUAUUGUUUCACUUGGCACUACUUUAAAAAUCAUUUGUGCAUGCGAUCAUUCUAUUUUUUUUACAGCGGUGCUUAAUAACAACCGUCUCUAGCAAGGGUUCCAAAAAUACAAGUAUUUACAGAGGUGGGCCACAUAAUUUAGUAACUAUCUGAAAAUCAAUUUCGAAAGGCAGACCACCUAAGCUACCACUACUAGAAAUUGACUUCUAGAGGCAAGCCUAAUAAGCAAUUGCCUCUAAAAAUAAUAGUCUUUUUUAAAUGAAGAAGGAUGACGACAAAUUUACUAGCAUAACUAUAGAGCUCGAUGACAUCUCAAACUUCAUAGUUCAUAACCUUUUCAUUUAAGACUAUUUACAGGCCCAAAUAAAAUUCAUGACCAUUUCUUAUAUUUAUUUUUAAAAAUAAAUUAUGAUUUCCAAAAUGGCCAUGGAAGGAGAUGUGCUCUUCACAAAAGUUGUAGUGCAUGACGAGAUCUAAAAAUUUGUAAUUGAUAUUUUUUAAAUUUAUGAUCAUUACAGUGUCAAACAUAGUACAAUAUUCAAAGAAGUGAAAUCAAAAGAAUCCCUUAUAUAGUUAAUAUGUGUUUCGUAAAGAGAUCUAUGUGUGAAGAAAGCUGUCAUACCAUGAAUUUUUUGGAUUUCAGGAUAUGAUUUGAAAUAAUAAUUAAACAAUAGUUUUCUAAUAAUUUUAAUUUUUCCAACAUUUAUUUUCUUGACAGGAAAUUUAGUUUAGGAAAGUGAUUGGUUGUUUUUUUUCUAAAUUAAAUAAAUUGGUUCUUCAUGUGUUGCAUUCAUGCUGAGGUAUCUUCGUGUUUCAUGAGUGUAGACAUUUUAAAAAUGAGUUUCUAGAACGUUUAGGUUCUUCUAAGAAUUUUUCGGAUUUUUUUGGAUUUAUUCUCAUUUUCCUAGAGCUAAAUCUAUUUAUUAUAAGGCCCUAGAAUCCCUUUCUUGAGCUCCAAGUAUUUUAUUUGGAUUCAUCGUGUCCCAAGCUAUCUCAAGAAAUUUUCCUAGAAUUUUAGCUUUUUUAGAGUAUUUUUUGUGGUUUCAUUGAUUUAUCUAGAAUUUUCUAGAUUUAUUUUUGCACGGGAAACAUUUCUGAAAAUGAAAUAGAAGGAAAUCCCUUUUCCUUCGGGGCGGGCUUGUGGGAUCGACCUGCUCUGGCCCAGCAGCCAGCCUGCUAGGCCCAUCUGAGCUCUGCAGCUGCUGGUGUCCAUGCCGGACACAGUAUUCCGUCGCCACCUCCCCAGCCAACUUGGGUGUGCGUGCCACGCCAGGGCUCCACCCCUGCCCCUAUAAAUAGCGAAGCCGUGUCCCCUGCUUGCCAUGCUGCCCCAGCUCGUGCUUGUGCUGUGCCUUGCCCUUGCACGCACAAGCGCUGCCACCGCCGGAGCCGAGCUGCACCGCCGCCUCGAUCCGCCACACCCCGACGUCCCCAGACCAAGCUGCCACCUCCUAGAGUUGCGCCACAUAGGCUGCCUCCAACUAAGGCAUCUGCUUCACCAAAAGGCCACCGGAGCAGCACCACCUCGCAACGCCAAUCCAGCCACCGUCUGCUGUCCGCCGUCAGCCAAAAUUCUAGCUGGAAUCUGUCUGCCCCGUCGUUGGUGAGCACCUCCAUAGAGUCCCCUCGACCUCCUCUUUCAAUCCUCGUCCUCGCAGCCGGACUACCCCAAUCCCACCUGUCACAAGCCGGCCACCAUGGCCAUUUGAAGCUCUUUGAGCUUUUGGGAUUAGGCCCCUUGGAGAUCCUAUAAUGUUUACAAGUUUUCCUAUGUCUUGCACCUUUUACAGUGAACCCCCUAGACUUUAUUUGAUCCUUGCAAUCGAACCAAGUUGUAAUCUUUAACAGAUCUAACCUCAAGCCUUAUCAAUUUUGCGAGCACUGUUUGAUGUGUCUUGCAAAUCUUCUCUGCUAGCCCCUAUUGUCUAGGGUUAGUCACGAUUAGACCUGUGCAGCUUGUUUCAUCGAUCCUUUGUUUUAGCUCCGUUUAACCUCGUUCUUGUUGUGUUAGGUUGAUGAUAACAUAAAUUACACGUUAGUAAUGAUGUUUCUAUCUUGCAUGUUUUUAAAAAUAAAUCUAAUAUUAAUUUGAAUGAUGCCUGUUAAACAUGUCUUCUUUAAUUAAAAGAUACGUAGAGUUAUACACCUCUUUUCAUAAUCAAUGUUAAUUUGAUUAAUUCUUACUUCAUAUAUUUUUCUAAAUAAAAGCUAAGUAGAGCUACACCUCGGUUUUUCAUAAACUAAUGUUUAUUAUUUUAAUAUUCAACAUUGAGUCAACUUUUCUAAAUAAAAGUUGAUUAGGCUUUUACACCUGCUUUUAUAAAUAAAUAUUAACUUGAUUAAUACCAACAUGAUUAUGUUUUGAAUAACAAUUUGAUCUGCUUGAAUCAUAAAGUAUACGUUUAGAUGUUUCACAUAGUUUGUUUUUUCUAAAAGUUAAAUGUUUAAAUGAUAUAAUUUAUACUUCAAUAUUUACAAUUAAAAUAUGGAUAAAUUAUAACUUGGUUUUUCCUAAUUACUGAUAAAAUGACCAAUGUCAAUAUGAAUGUGUUUUCUAAAUAAACUUGUUUGGCCCAACACGACACAUGUAUUAAUUCGAUUAGAUGUGUUCAUCUUUCUAACGUUAAGUGUGUAACGGGUAUAAUUUAUAUAUGAACAUUUAUGAAUAAAACUUGAUUAUGUUUUACCUCAGUUUUUGUAAAUAAAGUAUAAUUUGCAUUGAUUCCAACAUAGGUUAUUUUUCGUUCUAAAGUAUCCUCCUUUGCAUAUGUUUUGUUAAUUAAAAUAAACCGGGUGUGACAAGAGCAAUCUUGGUUCAAAUCCUAUAUACUGCACAUGUGCAAAUUUUGUGUGAGAAAUUGUAUGAUGUGUGACUAGCUUCUCCAGAGCAAGCAGACUCAUGCCCCUCCAGCAGGUGUAGUUUGGUCAAGGAGGGAGCAGAGGCGCCGGCCACCUCACACAUCUGUCACGGUUUAACUUGUCACUAGUGGCAUGUCGGGCGUAGGGCUAUGUUUUUUUUUAACUAAAUAGCACAGAAUGGAUAAUACAGCAUUUUGCAAUCGCAAAUAUGUGUGUGUGUGGGUAGGGGUAUUGUUACGUACCGUUGAGAGAAUUAAAAGAAAGAUCCAGCAUUGUUAGCUGGGUCAAAUUAACUAUUGAGCUUGGUAUGCUUCCGGAAAAAUUGCAAUCUUGAAGAACUAACCAUCUCAACUUAUUGAGCUGCCCAAUUGCAUUAGGUAUCAACCCAGAAAUCUGACCACUAAUUUCCAUGGCUUCCAAGUUAGUGAGGUUGCCAAUUGGAGCCGGCAUUGAACCUGAAAACCCAGAAUACUGGAUAUACAUGUUUCUCAAAUUUGUGAGUUCACCAAUUGCAGCUGGCAUUGGUCCUGAAAAAUCAGCACCCUCGAUAUACAAGUUUCUCAAAUUUGUGAGUUCACCAAUUGCAGUUGGCAUUGGUCCUGAAAACCCAUAUAAUAUAUACAAGUUUCUCAAAUUUGUGAGGUUGCCGAUAGAAGAUGGCAUGGAGCCAUAUGUGUUGCAAUCAUGCAUUUCAAGUGUUUGCAAGCCCGUGAGGUUUCCAACUGCCCCAGAGAAGUUACAUCCAAAGAGUCCCAAACUUGUUAGGUUUUUGUGCUGGCCAAUCCAUGAGAAAAUUGGACCUAAGUCGCUUCCUGAGUCCAAAUCGUGGUCCAACUCAUUAUCCAAAAAACAAUCAAGGUCCAACUGGUGUAGAGACUCAAGUCUACCAAAUGCAGAGAGAAAAUCCAUAGAAAUUAAAUUCCUGUUAAGGCCCAACUCCUUCAACGACGUGAAAUUACUAGAAGGCGUUGGUAUGGCAUAUACAAAGUUGGUCCUAUCAAGUCUCAAAGUCUCUAAAGAGCUGGCAUUAGAAAAGUUUGGCACAUGGCCUGAGAGAUUCAUAUUAUAGGACAAAUCGAGGACCCUUAGAUUUUUUGAUUGAAAGGGUCUAGAUGGUAACCGCCCCUCAAGAUUUGUCUGAGAAAGUUGAAGCACGGUUAAAUUGGGAAAAUCCAUGAAGAACUCUGGAAAUGGACGACCACUAGGUUCAUAAAAGUUUUCUUGGAGUUUGAUCACAACAAGAGAAUGGAGUCUCGAGAGCGCUUUAUGAAUAGGACCACUCAGGUGACAAUCAGCCAAACUAAGUAUCUGAAGUUGAGGAACAUAUGCAGCAAGAGAUGUGCCCCACUCUUCUCCACUAUUAGACAAAUCCACCGAGUCAAGGUAGAGCUCUCUUAAGUUGCUGAGGUUUGCCACAAAGGUAUCAAAACUUGAUUCCCAUAAAUUGUUAUAAUAAUCAUAAUAGUUUGGACCAUAAAAACCGAGAGAAUAAUCAAUAUUGUAUGUUGAAAGAUCCAAUGAGAGAAGGUUCACUAGUUUACUGAUGCUAGGAGGUAUCUGACCAUAUAAUCCUGAAUUGGAAAGGUUUAGGUGGGUUAAAAAAGUGAACCUCUCAAAACCAGCAGAACGGAUGUUGCCUCCACCGAUGUCAUUCAUGCUAAGGUCGAGUCGCUGAAGUGAUAUGAGGCUGAAGAGUGCAGGAUCCAAGCCAUGAGUUGACAAGCGACGGUUGUUGAGGUCGAGAAUGGUGACAUGGCCAGAGGAAGGGUCGCAGCCAACACCCUCCCAGAGACAACAGUCGGUACCAUUUUGCCAUGAUGAAAGCCUGGUGGUGGAUCUGCUGAAGGAGAAGGACUUCUUCAGCUGGAGGAGCGCCUUAGCUUGGUUUGGAUGGCACAAAAAUGAGACAGGGAGGUGAGUGAGGUUACCACCAUCAGCACGGUGGGCAAUAGAGGUGGAGAGUAGUGUGUGGAGCUGAGCAAGAAAGAGCAGUAACACCCAGCCGAUGGAAGCCAUAGCAACUCAGUAUGAGCCGAUGAUAGGCUUACAAAGAGGCACAAGGCAGAUACAUAAAGGAUUGUUAUGCAGCUUCCAGCUGCUGUCAAGUCUUUGUCCAUUAAUAAAUUAAUUAAUUUACGAGUACCAUGGCUAAGCUGUACGCAAUUGCGACACCUGAGGAGACUUGACUGUACCAUGGGCUAGCUGUACGCAAUUGCUACACCUGAGGAGACUUGACUAGCCUUUCGUCAAAUGCUGUUGGUAUCAUCCACUGCUACAACAGUGACCGGUAAUUGGAAGUCUCACUAUAGCAAGACUUCCAAGUCAACUAAGCCGGCCGCUACAUUCUGAGGAAGGUGGAAUUGAAGAUCAAAUCAAGUUGCGCAUUGGGAUGAAUUAGUCCGCACUCCGCAGAUAACAACAUCAAAUAUACUGAUCUGAUGUGCUUCAUUUUUUUUUUGGUUGGACUGGAGCGGCAUCAAGAUCCUACUGCUGUGGAAAACACUGACUUGACUCGUUUUAUCUCGCAUAAAACGUGGCUGAAGAUGAUAGUGGUGCUUCAAGAAUCAGCGAGAAGGAGCAAGUAAAAAUGCAGUUGAGCCGCAGCUAAAACUUGUCGAGGUUACCACCAUGGAUGCUCGUGAAUCGCAGUAUUCCAGCCGUGGUAGUUCUCGUCUUCUCGAAGGAGAUGUUGCAGUGUUCAUGUCUAGAGCUCAUCCAAUCCAUGGCGUUCCUCCGACAUCGCGUCACAUGCGUGUUCCUCAGGUCGCCUUUGCCUACGACCAAUAAGACGAUGACACCAGAACCUUUUUGUUUUUUUUUCCAAUCAGCAGCUUUCAAAGCGGGCACCCGCGGACAGUGCUGACCGCGCCAGAUUUGGUGCGCAUCAGCCGCAGUUGCACUCAUCCACAUCCGGCCCUCCCCCACCCUACCCCACCACCACCACUGAUUACCGAAGCUCCCUACACUACAGGGUAAGGAACAGCUAAGAUCUGAGCAAGUAAAUUCGGAAUAUUUAACUAUUUGCCAUUCUUACAGAUGAUGCUCCUUCAAAAAUAACUCUAACGAAUUCCUAUACAUCUGUCAUUGAAGAAAGAAUUAUUCUACACUUUUACCAUUUUUGCUGACGUGGUGAGCCACGUCCUCAUUCUAGUGUGAAUUGAGCAUGGCAAUGACCAUAGUGCCCCUGCCUCCCUCACGUUAGCCAUCCCCUUCCCUCUAUCCUGCCACUAAUGUAUGGUCUUCCGCUGUUGUGUGACUCCUCUGCGGUACAUCGGGGGAGGAUACCACAACUUGGAGGUGGGGGGGGGGGAGGUUAGUGUGCCGAUGCACAAAUCUAGGUGUCCACUCCUUCUCCAUCGAAGGAAAUCCAAGCACGGCAUAUUAAGAGACAUGGCCACUUAACUUUCAGCUUACAUCUCUUGGUGUGUAAUACUCCCUCUGUACUCGUAAAGGAAGACGUUCUAGGCUCUUGGCCCGUUUUCUCAAAGGAUGUCAUCGCACACUCGGAGGUGAGGAGUUGGACGCGAUUGCCCCUGCGUUUCGACUUCCAUCCGCAGUAAUCACGCACUCGCAAUCCACUGCAUUGAUCUCGCCUCUUUGUUUCACUCACCACCGCACGGUCGCUUCAAUUUCCUUCCUCGCGCCGCACGCUCGCUUUCCUUCUUCGCCGCGCACCUUCCUUCCUCACUGCUCGCCGCAUGUCUUCAUCGCCCUCACGCUGCGCCUUCCUUCCUUGCCACUCGCCACACGUCUUCCUCACCACUCGCCGGUCUACUCCCUUCCUUCCUCGCACCAUGGAGUCCGGUGCCAUGGAGGUCGCUCACGCCACGGAGGAGGCGCUGGACUCAGAGAUGAUGCCAGAAUCGGAGAUGUCGUUGGCCUCGGAGAUGGCACUGGACUCGUCAGUCGAGACGGUGCUGGACUCGGUCGAGAUGGCGCCGGACUCCGUCGAGGUGAUGCCAGAGUCUCUGUGUGCUUGCUGCGGCACGUGGAGCCAACAACGACGACGAAGGCUGCUACCAAGCUUGCCGCGAAGCUAGCAUGUGUGCACGUUGCGGUAUUGUACACAGAGACUACGAUCUCACAACAUGGAUCUUUGAUGGUAUAGAAAAAUUUGAUUGUGAGCUCUACAUUCCUGAUGUGGAGAAGCUUCAAAUGGAUAGUGACACAAUACUUCUUCCUGAGCACAUUAUCAAGAAGUUGGAUGAGAUCUACAAUAUGAAGAAGUUGGAAGAUGCAAAGAAAGAACAGUAAGGUACAUGUCUCAUUCAGUCGACCUAACAGGCAUGCAAAAACUAAUUUGCUAGUAAUAUUCUUGCUUCGGCUAGCAAUUGCUUCAGCUAGCAUGCUGCAAAGACUAACAUGCUUGCAUCUUCUAAUAUUCUUCUUCUAAUUUGCUACAGGAAGGCUAGCAAUUGCUUCGACUAGCAAGGAAGAUUCACAAGAGAUUUGCAAUGGUAGCUGAUCUUCUUUCUCUAGUUUUUCUUUUUGCAUGUGAGGAAUUUUGAACUUGUUGCACCCUUUAACUUUCAUGGCUUCCCUCAAAACACUCUGAAGUGUUACAAAAAUCAUGUUUGCUUUCCAUGGAGAGUACUCUAAGAAUGCCUGCAAAACAUGUGUUCAAAAAUUCAAUCAAUGAGUAUAUUAGUUGUUCAAGAAACAAUGGAACAAGUGAACAAUUGAUCAAUUUACCUGUUAGACUAUUGGAACUAGAUCUUUUAUUGUUUUUGCAUCCUUCUUGUAUUGAAUAGCUUGAAUAGCUUGAAAAAAACCCAAGUCUAAAAUGUUAAAAUCCGUAGAAUUGGGUGGUUGACAAAUGAGGCGAAUGUCAAACCCUUCUUGCUUAGCAGCCUCACAAAAAAUAGGAUCAUCCACUUUUAAAUGGGAAGGUGCAUUAUCUUGUUGUAUGAAAAUUGUCUUGUUCACAUCUUCUCUUGGCCAUUUGGCACGAAUGGCAGGCAGCACAUUGUUUACCAUGAAAUCUCUAAUCACCUCUCUUGUGAUCGAAGAAAUUGGCUUGAUUACUUGUUCUCCGAGAAGACGAUUGUGACUUCUUAUAACAGCAAGUUCAUAAGUGACAAGUGGAAAACAACCUAUUUUUCCAUGAAAAACACAUUCUCCAUUCCUAAACCUUGGCCGAGCACAAACACACAAGAACAUGAACCUAGGGAUGUAAUUCUUGUCUUUACAAGUGCGAUGUGGUUCAUCUUCCUCGGGUAGCAAGUAAUAUUUUUCAAAUUUUUGAGAGAGGUAGAACCAUUUUUCAUCGAUGAACACAAAAUCAAAAAAAUCCUUAAAUCUUGGAUCACCAAGCAAACCCUACUCAAUUAUGUCAACACACCACUUCAACCUAGUCUUCUUGUUAGCAUCUGUGAGGUAUGGUUUGAUGCUACUAGAGUGAAGCCUAAGCAAACCUUUUCUCAAAUACCUUUGUAUCCUAGCUUUGCUCAUACCAAGUUUACUAGACACAUCUUUUAUGGUCAUUCUUUGUUUGAGAGGAAUGUUGCACAAUUGUUCCAAAUCAAGAGGGACUGCCUUACGGCCACAUCUACCCUUCUUUUUACUUGCAACCACAACAGGAAUGUUAUGAGCAAGUUGGUGUUUACCUCGCUUCCAUAAGCGCUGAAAUGACCAAAUGUGCACUCCAAAUUGAUCAGCAACAAUUCUUGUAUCCUUCUUGCCUAGUGUCCCAUUCUUGCUUCUAGCCAACAAUGCUUGGUACACUUGUCUUGUGACUUCUUCUGUCAUGUCCUUCCUUCUAUGGUGUAUUUUAUCGGGAACCUCAACAUCUUGUUCUAUUAAAAGAAAAAAAAAGAACAUUCUUCUUGUUAGCCACAGAUUACAUAAAAAAUAAUCAAAAGAGGAAAGAACAAACUAAAAAAAAUUACCAGCGAGGUUUUGUAUGUAAUCAAAGUCAACCACACCAUAUUCGUCUAAUGGCAAGUUCAAAUCAAAUCCUAUCCAAAAAUGAAACAAAAAAAUUAGAAAAGAUGGCGCUUGAGAGAAACAACAAACUCAAACAAGGAGGUGAUUACCAUUGUCUUUGCCGGACUCCAAUAUUGGCUCGUUGAGAUCGAAGGCAAGAUUGCCAUUGUCAUCUUCUUCUAAGCGAACGUUCAGAUCAAAGGCAACAACUCUAGGAUCAGCCAUUGCAUGCGGUAGUGAAGAGAAGAGAGGGAAAGUGAGGAGAUGAAGCACGGUAAUGGAAAGAGAAGAGGCCAGGGAAAGACUCCGUUAAAAUAGGCAUGGUGGAACACAAACAUCGGAGCUAUCAAGCGCAAAAAAUUAGAACCCCAUGGCGCCACAGUGAAAAUCAUUUGCAUGUGAAAAACUAACGAAAACAUGGUGCCCAACACGCCCAGAACGCGAGCACAAACGUGCUCAAGCGGCUCAGCGCGCGCACCAUGCCCAGCAGAAUCAAAUCCCAUGCAGCCACAGCGCUUGCCUUUCCCCCCUCUAAUUUUUGGCUCCUCGUUUUUAUGCAAUUAUGAAAUUACUCAUUUUGAUGGAGAUUUGUAGCAUCAUUCAAGUAAAUACAAAUUGAGAUAGUAGAAACAUGAGCUUGUGAUAUAGCUACACCUAAUUCCGCCAGGUAUCGAACCCGGGUCCUUAGGGCAAACACCUCGCUGCACUAGCCGUCUGAACUAUGGUUGUUUCUCGUAUGAAAUGCACCCGCAACCAUUUUUAAUAGGGGCAGACAAGAAAAAAUACCCUCUAAUUAAUCACUCCUUGGUAAGCACAAUCAUGUCCUAAACGACUUCCUUUACUAGUACGGAGGGAGUAUGGCUCUAUUUGGUAUGGCUCCAACUCCAGGUUUUGCUGCUCCACUCCUCAACUUCAGCUGGAGCUAGCUUUGCUUGGAGUUGGAGUUGUGUGGACGGGAUGUUUGGUAGAAGGGUGCCCAGCUCAAAAAAGAGGAUUUUCAUAGGUAAUUGCCAUUUUUUCCCCAUGGCCCCGCAUGUCAUCAUGUAUAUACCUAUUUUUUUCCUUUUUUCUGAGCUUAUCUUCUUCCUCGGGACUGAAUCAGCUCGUUCGCUCGCCCACGGCCCGCGAGGCCUUGCUCGAUUCACCCUACCCAAGCUAGUAACCAGAUAGAGUCAGCAGCGCACCGGAUGGGGGCUAGCAGUGGCAAACAGUUCUAGGUCAGCAGCAGGCGGAUCGCAGGAUGUUGCCAAUGAACGGGAUAGAGCUUGUGGGGUGUAGAAUGGGUGCAGCGCAGGAUGGGGCUAGCUGGCGACGUGCAGGAUGGGGCACGUGGGGUGGGGCCAGCAGCAUGUAGGAUGGGUAGGCGGUGCGCGGGACGGAGCCACCGCACAGGAUGGUAGCGGUGCUGGAUGGGGUUGGCGGUGCAUAGGAUGAGGCUGACGUGUAGGACAAUGGCGGUGCGCAAGGGGAACGAUGGCUCCAGCCCUCACGAGCGAUGGCGGAGGUGCAAGGCGAUAGCAACGGCGCAUAGUUGGAUGGCGGCAACGGCAAGGAUCAAGGAGUAGCGGCGCGUGGGCUUGGGGGCGGUCCUAGGCUAGGGGUGGCGCAUGGGUUGGUAGUCGCGAGAGAGAUGAAGGUUGUGGGACAGAUGAAGCGGGGGAAAAAAUAGAACCAAAAUAUUUUCUUGUGUAACCGAUGGCAGUGGUGGGUAAGUAUCUUCUAACUCCGCGUCUAGGUUCGUUUCGCAGUGUUUUGGAUCUGUGAAAGAGGUGCUCUACGAAAAUGAACUAGAACUCCAGUAACUCCAUGAAGUUAGACUGCUUCAAUAUUUUUUGGAGUUGGGGUGUUUGGCUAGCUCCACUCAGCUCUGAACUGCGGUUUGGAGUUGGAACCACUGCAAAUAGACCCUAUAUAUGGAGCUUGGUACUAAAACCGUAUAGUUCCUCCGCAGGUUUGCAAAAAGAGAGCAGAAGCAAGCACAAAAUUAACAAGACUUCCCUUAUGCAAGGGGCACUUUGAUGCCACACACACGAUUUCACCAUGUAAAUUUAGGGAAAAAAAUAAAAUUACCUUGCUAAUAAUUCAUCUGUCAUUGGAUGGUCCUCUCAUAGAUUUUUUCUGACUUCGCCCGGACAGGCUAAUAUGCAAAUAUAAUUGUGACAAAUAAUUAUCAUUCACACAAUCACUUCCAUUUUCUUUUUCAUUCGUUACCUCCAACCUAAAAGCCAUGUCCAUAGUAUGUUGCUCCCUUACUGUAUUGUACAUGUUCUUCCCUGCUAGCUUGAGACCCUGUUCCCCGCCAGUCAUGGGUGUAAUCAUCCUCGCCCUGGUGGCCUCCCUUCUUGCACCAUGGGAUACAGCUGAGCCAUGGAAUAUAUGUGUUAAGAAUGCCUUGUUCCUCAGUGGUGGAGGCAGGAUUUUUCGUAUAGGGGGGCAAACACUGUAAAAGAAAAAAAAUUAUACAAAACUUUCUAUAAUGCCAACGCUAUUAUACUCCACCUGACCGGGAGAAGAAAUGUUGUACAUGCAUGAUAUCUUGGAUUUUUUUUUCGUUUUAAAAAAAAUAGAGCGCAUCAAGCAGUGAUGCAUUCUUCUGUACGUAGCUGGUUUGUCCUUUCGUGUAUAUUCCUAACGUACCGUGGUAAUUUGUAGUUGUGUUUUCUGUGAAAUUUUGAUGUUUUUUUGCACCUCUUCUAUGAAAAAUAAGCGUAGAGUCUACAUAAUAUACAUACAAACAAAGUACGGGCCUGCCAAGUCUAGAGGUAAAAAAAUAGGCCUAAAACCUGGUUUCCUUAGGCGCAUUGGGCUGCGAAGCAAGAAGAAACAUCAUGAGGGGCUGUUCUUUACUAGCUGCGGUGAUUAAUAGUAUGAUUAAGGGGGGAUUUUCACUGAAACUACAGCAAGGUUAAGGAGGGUCAGGCCCUUGCACGGCCCUUGUGGCUCCGCCCCUCUGGUUCCUACUAUGAGAACACUGCUCUCCUCUCUGCUAGCCUUCCCAAGGUUCGUAGCUUCAUCCAUAUGACACUAUAGUUGCCAUUGCCUCCAUGGUAGUGGGAGGGCUUGUAGGGGGCACAUGCCCCAAUUGGUCGGGCUGGUCCUACUUCAAGAAGCUACAAAAAUGCCUAUUAUACCUUGGGUCGGUAUUUUAUUUACAUGGCUUUCCUAUAUAUCUACUGAAAGAUGAUUACUUACAUAUUGCCUGUUGUUUGAGACUGGUGCAGUGCAAAUAGACCAUGAAGACUGUGGGGAGCAUGAAAUGCAUGCACUGACUGUACAUGUGACCAUGGAGUUGGACAAUGGACACAUGUCAUCAACUGAAAUGUUGGACGUGGUGAGACAAAUGGGUGAGAGUGGUUUGUUUGAAUUUUAAUCUUUAAAAGAACUUUAUGUCUUAAAUCACAAGUUAUUUUUAAAUCUAUUUAAUUUUAACUGUGGCAUUUCUUUGAAUCGAUUCAACAAAUAAGGUCCAAUGUAAAUAUCUUAUACGUUUUUUUUCAAAAAAUCAAAUAUACUAGCUCAUGUUAGAUAUACUAAUUUAAUAUUUUGAGUAUACAAUUUCAACAUUGUAAUUAAAUUGAUUCAUGUUUUAUAUAACAUGUAAACAUUUUGACAUAAAAAGUUUUGAUCUAGUUUUUCCAAAAUGUCGAUUUAUGGUUUGAAAAUUGUUGAAUAUAGUUGUUUCAGAUUGUUGAUCUAGUUUUUGAAAAAUGUGAAAUCUAAUGUUGUUGAAAUGUUGAUAUAUGUAUUGCAAAAUGUUGAACAUCAUUUUUUAAAUGUUGAUCUAGGUUUCAAAAAUAAUGUUCAAUCUAGUAUUUAAAAAAUGUUGAUCUAGGUUUUGCAAAAUGUUGAAUAGAGAUUUUUAUAAUGGUGAUGUAUGUCUGGCACAAUGUUGAAAAAAAAACAGAGUUGGAAAUCAAUAUACAUGUGUGAGGCCGGAUACACAGGUUAGCUCACAUUUGACAAUAGCGCAGGUUUUGUGCAAGGCCAGAUGCUUGAGCACAACACACUUAUUUACCCAAAAGAAGGUUAACAAGUACAAGAAGUAACAGCAGAAGAAAGAGCCACAGUAUACCGCAACACCUCAUCAGAUCACAGAUCCUUCACUUUCACUAGAGCAUAAUUCAUUCCUUCGGAAGUCACACCUUCCAGCAAAGUACAUAACACAAUGUUCCAACCUCUAUAGGGAAGGUGGUUUUUUGGAUUUCCGUCCACUCUGCCAUGAAGUCGACCAAGAUCUGAGACUUGAUUGCAUGUCGUGGGCAAAAUUCAAGAUCGAACUCACCGAGUUCCACAGACCACUUGACAACUCGGCCGUUAACAUCUCUGUUGUGGAGGAUUUCACCAAUGGGGAACGAGGAGACCACGCAUAUUUUGUGUUCCUGAAAGUAGUGGCGCAGCUUCCUUGAAGAUAUUAACACUCCAUAGAGCAGUUUUCGUACUUGGGUAUAACAGGUCUUGGAGUCGCUGAGGACCUCGCUGACGUAGUAUAUUGGCCGCUAUACUGAGUAGGUGUGACUGGGUUCUUGUCGCUUGACCACCAUUACGAUGCUAACCACGUGUGUUGUAGCGGAGAUGUAGAGGUAGAGUGUUUCCUGGUCGGCCGGAGCCGUCAUGACCGGGCAUGUAAUGAGGAAAGUUUUUAAGUCUUCAAGCGCCUUGCUAGCCUCGUCGUCCCAUAUGAAUUUGUCCGCCUUUUUGAGGAGUUUGAAGAAGGGCAGGCCUUUCUCUCCAAGUUUGCUGAUGAAGCGGUUAAGAGCUGCCAUCAUGGCAGUCAGCUUCAUGACAUCCUUCUUGUUGGCAGGUCUUCUCAUGCUUCUGAUUGCAUCUACCUUUGCGGGAUUGGCUUCGAUGCCAUGCUGGCUAACCAUGAAGCCCAGGAGAUUGCUAGAAGGGACACCGAAGACGCACUUGCCGGGAUUAAGCUUCCAGCGAUAGGCCCAGAGGCUGUUAAAGGUUUCCGCGAGGUCGGCUAUGAAGCUUUUCUCAUCUUUGGUCUUGAUGACCACAUCAUUGACGUAAGCCUCGAUGUUUCUGUGCAGCUGAGUUGCGAGGCAACCCUAGAUGGCCUUCUGGUAGGUGGCACCAGUGUUUUUAUAGUGUUGUAAUAGUAUAUACCGAAGGGCGUUAUGAACACCGUCUUGUCUUGGUCGGCUGGUUUGAGGGCAAUCUAGUGAUAGCCCGAGUAGUAGUCGAGGAAGUAGAGCAGGAUGCUUCUCACGGUGGAGUCUAUGACUUGGUCCAUACGCGGAAGAGGGAAGGGGUCCUUAGGGCAGUGCUUGUUCAGGUCGGUAUAAUCAAUGUACAUUCUACAUUCACCAGUUUUCUUUCUUACAGGGACUAGGUUUGCUAACCAGUUGGGAUGUUUACAUUCACGGAUGAAUCCGGCUGCUAGGAGCUUAUUCAAUUCUACCCUAAUGGCCUACUUGCGAUCUUGGGCGAAGCGUCAUAGUUUCUGUUUCACCGGACAUGCAGUCGUGCUCAAGUUCUCCAAGGAGUGCUCAACCAGCUCCUUGAGGACACCGAGCGUGUCUGAUGGAUUCCAUGCAAAUAUGUCCAAGUUAUCCUGCAAGAAACUGGUGAGCGCGAGUUCCUAUUUCUCCGAGAGGUCGGCCCCAAUGAGAGCCAUUUUGGUUGGGUCUUCAAGACCAAGGCAAAUCUUCUUGACCCGGGGCUCAUGCUGUAGGGAUGUGGACGUCAGCUCCUUCUCAAGGAUUGUUAGCUGGUCCGUGCUGAUCUUCUAAGCCUCGGCGACCAUGGCGGUGGUGAUUGCCGACAGUUCCAGAGUUUCUGCAAGUUGGACUGCUUCUAUGUCUAUAACAUCCGCAAAAUCACCAACCUAAAAUCACCCGUUAAAAAUCGCUUUCAAAAUCUUUUUACCGCUGAGCUCCCAGAAAUCAAAAAUCUUCCCGGCAAUUUCGCCGUCCCGGCACCCAAGCCGACAGCCAUCAUUUUUACCCGUGCCCGUUUUUCUCGCCGCGUGCCGUCGUCAGACGCCACGCGCGUGCUCCGACCGCGUGCCGCGAACGCCGCCGGUCUCUCUCUUUUUCUUUCUCUUUUUCCCCUCCCCUUUUCUUUUUCUUUCUCUUUUUCCUUCUUCCUUUCUUCUCCUUCUUCCUUCUUCUUCCUCCUUCCUUCUCUCUCCUCCUCCUUCUUCUUCCUGGCGCCCGCACGACCGGCCCCAACACCUUAACUCCCCCUAGCGCCACCUCCACUGGUGCCACGCCGCCUGGCCGCCUCGGGCCGCGCCCCCCGGGCCCCAUGCCGCCGCCCCGGCGCCAGUCCCACCCGGCCCGGCCCCGCCGGCCCCCAAGCGCACGGCGCGCCGCCACCGGCCCCUACCCCCACCCGCGCGCCACCUCCGGCCAGCCACGCCACCGGUGUCGUGCCGGCCACCGUCGCCCGCCGGCCCGAGCUGCACGCCACCCCGAGCCCUGCCGCACCUGCCGGACCCUGCCUCCGCCCAUACCGCCGGCGCCACACCCUGCACGGACCCCCACCCCACCGCCAGCCUAUAAAAGGGGCCGCCCGCCCGGCCUCCCUUGCCACUCCACCACCGCCCCAGCUCGCCACCACCGCCCGUGCGCCGCCGCCUCCCGCUGCUGUCCGUGCGCCGCCGCCUCCCGCCGCCGCCCGUGCGCCACCGCCUCCUAGCCAUUACCGGCCGCCCCUUCUCCAUCCUCAAAGCUCCAAGGUGAGAGGAAAAAUGGGCUCCCCUCCACUCCCUCCGCCGCCCCCGGCCCUCGACUCGCCGCCGGCGAGGCCCGGCCGGCCGGCCGCCGCUGGCUCCCUCUUCUCUCUCUCCCUCUCCAAGUUCCUGGAGAAGAGGAAGAUAAGAAUGCCCAAAUUUCUGAUCCGACCCCCUCUUUCUUCUUAUUUACAGAUUAGUCCUUCCACCACUCUCAUAAACCUAUUCGCGGAUAAGCCCCUCCACCUCCAGGAUUAUUUACAAAUAGGUCCCUGGUUUAUCGCAAAUCAGUCCUAAACCUCCUUAUUAAGCCCUUAAACCAUGUUUAACUCAUCAUUUCAUGCGCCAAACUUCCUCUAAUUAAUCCCAAAUUCGACCACGUCAUCCUCCAGUAUACUUCUGCCGAUCCAUAUCCAAAUUUCCCAAAAAUAUUCCCUCUACCUAUUUUUCAUUCGCAUUUUCUGUUCGGAGCUCAACGGAUAAAAACCAAUUUUCUUUAUUUAUUUGUGUGUCUGUUUAUGUGUGUCGUAGAUCGCGGAUUACCCGAGGAGGAGCCUGAGGAGGAGUUUGACCGCGAGCCCGAGCCCGAGGACCAGCAGCACGAGCCGGAACUCCCGGAAGGCUUUGAAGACGGCAAGUCCAAUCUCACCCUUUGAUGCAUACUUAAUACCUAGUUUUUCAAACACAACCUAUUGGCCUGUUUUAUAAAAUGCAUAUUGUUCUAUUGCAAGACAUGGUUGGAUAGCCACCCCUUGAUUGUUAUGAACAUUCCUUGUUAUCCUAUGGUUGUCUCUAAAUAUGACCCGCUCUAUUUAGGCGAUAACCACUGCUAGAAUGCUUAGGAAAUAGCUACUCGACUACAAUCAUUAUUACAACGGUUUAUUUGGAAAAUAAAUGUGUGUGUGUGCAAUUGGGAAAAUGGUUUUCCGGGUUCAGAGGAAAGGAAUGUGUAGACAAGAUGGAUGGGUGUUUCUUGUGUGAAAUGCCAGGAUGUUGUGCUCGUACCUUAGUGGUUGAGCAAUGUCGGGAGAUAUCCAUCUUGUCAUGGUUAAGGAGCGAGUUGAUGUGUCAUCUUGCCUAAUUCCACCAUCGUGCAACCACUUGACCAUUGUAUGGGCAACGGCUUAGCAUAAAUCCCACUAGCUAAACUGUUAGUCUUCAGGGGUGUUGGUGAGCAACGGGAACCCAUGGAAAAGGAGUAAGAUCUUGGUGACUUAGGUCCUGGUAACGGUCUCAUGGACGAGCCGUGAACCCCUUGGGUGUUUCCGUGAGGACUAGCCAGUCUCAGCUAAGGUGGGUAAUGGCUUUGUGAGGAUCCGCACCGGCACUAAGGUGAUCGUGCUGCGGUACCCUACUUGUGGGAAAAGUGUACAACCUCUGCAGAGUUAAAACCUAUCCGAGUAGCCGUGUCCACGGCAUUGGACGAGUUACGUCUUGGUCACAUAACUAGCACUUGGGCAUGGAUGUCGCGUGCGUGUGUGUGUGUGUGUUGGAUUUUGGAAAUGUCCGGCAGUUGUGCCGUGAGCUAUGGCGGACGGGGAGUCCGAUAGUGAUAAAACUUGGAUCCUAUUGGGUAGGAUCAACCCCACUUAAUGUUUCGGUUACUAAAGAAAAGUUUUACGAAAACUUGUUUGAAAAUGAACCCAUGCAUGUGUUGAAAAUCUAGCUUUAUUGCAAAUAAACCCUAGCCUAUCCUUGUUAUAUCCUGUGCAUAUACUUGCUUGUAUCCCCCUCCGUGGAUGGGGUUGGACUUGUUGAGUAUGUUCGUACUUACCCUUGCUUUGUUACUACAGAGGAAGACCCGGACUUCAUCACCGAAGACCUUGCGUAGAGGUUGUGUCCGCACCCAACGUUGCCUUUUGUGUUGGCCUUUCCAAGAUGCUACUGCUACCGUGUAGUCCCGAGUGCUGUCUUUUGGUAGUCGCUUGGUUAGCCGCUGUUGUCUAUUUACUUCUUAUCGCUGCGUGGCUCUCACGCCCACUCCCUCGGGAGUUGUACGGUAACUGAAUUAUCUGUCGAAUAAAUGUGUUAUCAGCCUCCUGGGACUGAUAUUUGUAUCACAUUUAGUCUCUACUUAUGUGGGGACGCUUCAGUGUUGCACUUAUAUGAGGUCUCCACGUCAUCGUAGAUAGAAAGUACUCCGUUAGGAGCUGGCAUCUUGAGGACAAGGUAGGUAUGGUGCGGGAUUGCCAUGAACCUUGCCAGCAUUGGCCUACCGAAAAUAGCGUGGUAGGAUGUUUUGAAGUUGGCUACCUCAAACAUGAGGUGUUUGGUGCGAUAGUUGGCCUGUGUGCCAAAGGUGACCGGCAAAACUACUCGGCUGAUGGGAUAGGAUCCUUUUUCGGGUACGAUACCAUAGAAGGGUUCUUCACAAGGCUAGAGCUGCUUAAAAUCAAAAUCCAUAUGCUUCAAUGUCUCAGUUUAGAUGAUGUUGAGGCCACUACCUCCAUCGAUUAGUACCUUAGGCAGUAGAGCCCAAUCUAUGGUCGGUCAGACUACCAACGGGUAGGACCCAAGAUCCGGGAUAUGGACCCAAUGGUCUUGCCUGGAGAAGGUUAUUGACUGCUCGGACCAGCGCAGAUAUUGGAUUGUUAUAUUGAAACGAAGUGGACCUCUCGCUGGCGCAGCUUCUGCUGGCGAUUGCUGCAGGAGGUGUUGCGGUCGCCCACGAUGAUGUUGACCUGACGCCCAGGUCACUAGAAGUCUCCGUUUUGGUCAGCAUUAGGACGUUGGGCAUCAUGACGCGGCUGAUUACGCUGUUCCUCCUUGUUCUGGUCGGUGCAGUCAUCGCACCUACCGUUGUUACGGUCGUUGCAGUCGUCAUGAUCAUUGUUGCUACGACUGCCAUGGUUAUCUUGGCAUUGAAUAUUAUUACGAUUGCGAUACUCGCGCCAGUUACUGUCUUGACGGUCAUCGCUAUGCCGAGGUCGUGUAACACCCUAACUUGUUUGAGUUUGUUUAAGGCCUUAAGAUUUCUCUGUGAAUUUAUUAGGCAUUAAAAUCUUUUUCUUAAAUUAGCUUAAUGCACCAUAGGUUUAAGUGUGUUGCAUUGCAUGCUGGUUGCAUUUCUUAUUCUUUGAGUGUGAAAAGGUUUAAAAAUGCGUUUAGGCGAUGUUUAGUUUCCUCUGAGAAUUUUUCAGAUUUUUCUAGGAUUUAUUCUCAUUUUCUUUCAGCUUAAUCCAAUUUUUGAAGGUUUCUAUAAAUCCUUUCCGAAGCUCCAAGUCUUUUAUUUGGGUUCCGUGUGUCCCAAAUCAUCUCCAAGAAUUAUCCUGAAUUUUUUGAAACUUUCGGAGCAUUUUUCACGAUUUAAUUAUGAUUUCAGGAUUUUUUGAAAUUAUUUUUAAAUCCAAAAUUAAUUCGAAAAAAAGAAAUAAAUCCUGACCUCCACCUGACCUAUAAAUAUAUAUCACCGCGUUCCUCUCAACGCGAGGAUUUCAGAUCUAAAAUCCUUUUUCGAGUUGACUCUCCGAGCUCCGUAGAUUUGAAGUCAAAGUUCGGCCGCCCGCAAAACUCCAACGAGCAGAUCUGGCAAAUCCGUUCGUCCUUGGCCGAAGGUGAGCACACCGUUGCGUUCGUAUCGUCGAUCUCGUUCCGUUUUGCUAUUCAUGCGCGAGAUCGGACUUUAUUUUCAGCUUUUCUUUUUUUUUCUCUAUUUCUUCCCGUUACUGUUCUGUACCGUAGCCAUGGCCGCCUGUUCCGCUCCAGCGCCCUGCAGCGCACCGCCGCCGACCUGCCUCGCGGCGCCGCCACCUUGCUCACCACUCCGCCAACCGUGCCGCUCUGCCCGGCGCCGCCGCAGGCGUGCGCUCCGCCCGGCUUGGCCGUCGCCGCCGGCAGGAGGACUUCCUGGUAAGCGCAUCGGUGUGCAUAUGAAGGAAGAAGAUGACGGUUUUGCGAUUUAGCCUUCGGAAAAUGAUAUUUUCUGAAAGGAAGAUUUGUGUCUUGUGGUUUUGUAAAAAGGACCCUGGAAAAGCUAGAUUCUCAAGUUCCAGCCCUACCCGAGAUCUUUUGCAAAUAUAACCCUAUAAAUUCUGUUAUUUGCAAGCACUUUUACAUGUGUCUUGCAAAUCUUUCUUGCUAGCCCCUGCCGUCUAUGGUUAAUUGCGUCUGGGUCCCUACCACCUUGUUUAUCUCAUAACUUCUUCGUUCUAGCUCCGUUUUGAGUGAUUCUUUCGCUCACACAUUCGUAUUAACGAGUAGAUUAGUUUGGUACUGCUUUUAAGUACUAUUUUUGAUGAUUAGUGUACUGUUUUUAAUUAAAUGCAUUUGUUUGCUUGUAUGUGCACGUGUGACGCGUAUAGAAGAAGCGUAGUUCGAGGAAUCCAAAGAAGAGGAAGACUGAAGACUCUGAGCAGCAGCAGGCCUUGAGGAAGGCAAGUGUCCUUGGUCAUUCCCGUUUAUACCUAAUUGACAUGCAUUGAUUCACAAUAUUUAUUUACCGCGUGCAUUAACAUGAUGGGUUCCUAUUAAGGACAAUGCCUAGUUUCUCUUGAUCAUACCUUGCAGCCGGGUUGUUUAAUUAAUCUUGAGGGUAGAUUAUGCUUAGCUUGCUCAACUGGGUUGGUAAAUAAACAACAUGGUUCAUUUAUCUAUUUACUCUGCGUUCCUGAUUUAAUUACAAGACCAUAUAUUUUAAUCGGAACAUGGAGCGACCACCCAGGAAAACAGUACAACCACAAGGACUAAAUGGCUCUGGUCUUGGCUAACUAAUUAGAGGACUCUAGUGUUGGACUAGUGUUAAGGGGGAGCAUGACUCGCGGAACCUCGUGCACUGGAACACACUAGGGAAGUCUUUGUAAAGGCCUCGUAGCGUCCCUACGCAAUCACACCUCGGAAGUGUGGUAUUGUGCCUACUUUUGCACAGCAUGGUUGGGUCUAAAGUUCACCUGAACUUUUACGCGACUUGUGGGUAAAGAUGUACAACCUCUGCAGAGUGUAAAACUGUUAUAACAGCCGUGCUCACGGUCAAGAGCGGCCUGGACCCUCACAUGAUUAAUUUACUUGAAGAUGAUACUACUGUGUUAUAUGUUAUGUUCAUGCUUAUGGUAUAUCAUUGCUCUAUAUUAAUUGUGGGAUGGUAUAAACUUACAUUUUCUAGUAAUUAGAUGAUGAAUAAAAUUUGACCAACUAAAAGUGCUAAUCGCAAUUAACCUUGUCAGCCUUCCACCAUAUAAAGCCUUGCAUGUCAUAUAUAUUUCUCUCUUGCUGAGUACGACAUGUGCUCACGCUUGUGUUUUAUAUAUUGCAUCUACAACAUUCGGAUUGCUGCUCAGACCUGGAGAAUUUUGAAGAUUACUAAAGUUUUUGGAAGAGUUCUAGGCGAGUCCACCAGUCAGCUGCCUGUGGAGUUUUUGGAGAUCCGCUGCCUAUAUUAGAGAUUUAUAUCUCAAUUCUGGUUACAUAAUUUAUGUAAUUCUCUCUUUACGCUAUAACACUGUAUUUGAUAUUUACUGAAGUCAUCAUAUGUGUGAAACUUGAUCCUGGCACACAUAUGAUAGUCAUCUGGUUUUGCCUUUAAAACCGGGUGUGACAGGUCGCUUGUAUUCCAUCGGGGCACCGAGCUCUUUUUUCAGAGCCAUGUAGUCACGCAAGGUAUGGUGCGCAUCCUUGUGGAAGGGGCAUAGGCCACUCAGAGUUCCAUCAAAUUCCUCACGAUUGAAGGUGUAGUCGGGUUCGCCCCAGCAGCAUAGACUUCCGGGGCUCUUUUGCGGAAAUGGGGCUCUGGACGUGCUUGGGGCUCGAUAUGCAGUGGUUGAUAGUAGUUGUCGCUCUAUUGGUGCCUCUGGAACUGAACUUUUGAUGCCUCUUCAAUAUCGGCUUGCUCAUCGACCACUUCCAUCAUCUGUCCGACUGUUUUCGGUUUUGCCUCAUAUAGCUUUUCAAACAUUUCUGAUUCAUCAAACUCGAGCGAAAAUAUUAGAUGAUAUUGCGAUCAUCGAUGCCUACAAGCCUAUUGCGAUUCUCGAAGAAGCGGUUGGCGUAUUCUCGAAGUGGCUCGCCUUCUAUUUGAUGGACUUGACAUAGCUUUUCCCUAUUGCCAGGUCGGUUGUAUGUGGCCUAAUAAUUCUGAGUGAAAGCUCUAGCGAGCUGACCCCAACUUUCAAUGCUAUUUGGGGGAAGGUUUUCCAGCCACAAGAGCGAAGCAAAACCCAUAACUACAGGGAAGUAGUCAACCAUUUGAUCGUAGGUGCCGUUAGUGGCUCUCAUAGCCAUACUGUAUGUCUUGAGCCAUAUAGUUGGGUCCGAACGGCUAUCGUACUUUACGUUGAUAGCUGGUUUGAAAGUAGGUGGCCAUACAACAGCCUUGAGGUGAGGCUUAAAGGCGGCAAAGCCAUCAAUUGCCAUGCCGUUGUUGUAGUCAUCGUCGAAGUAGUAUUGGUCAGGGUUGACCCUUCCGCGUCCACCAUAGUUGCGUCUAGGUGGAUAAUAAUCGUCUUCAUAAUCAUACUCCUGCUUGGGCGGAUUGUAGACAUCCUCGUAGUUGUAAUCAUGCCUGGGUGGGUCGUGGGCGCCUCCGGGUGCAUCGUAUGCACGGUCGUAGUCGGCGCAACGGCGCAUCUCAUCUUCCUGACGGCAUCUGUCAUUAUGCGCCGCAUCGUGGUUUGGUAUAGGAGCGCCAUAGUUGCGAUCGUACUCAGCACGGCGACGAAACUCAUACUCAUCGCGCUCAUUGUGGCAUUUAUUUAAGUCGGUGCAGAUCUCACGAUUCUAGCGAAGCUCGUGCAGGUCAUCUCGGAGAUCGUGCUGCCGUUCUGAUCGGCCUUUGUCUCCAUCGUGGUUUCUCCCGCCGCGGGGGCGCUUGUCGUUGUUAUGUUGUUGAUGAUCAUUGUUGACGGCGUUGUUAACUGGAGGAUUCGGUGGCUGGACGACUGGUGGGUUGAUAGGUUGGGCGGCUUGUAAGUUCGCAGCUUGUCCGGCUUGUGGAUUCGCAGCUUGUCCGGCUUGUGGAUUGGUGGCUUGUCCGGCCUGUGGAUUGGCGGCUGGAACAAUGUUUUGGUCUACUUCUUCUUCGUUGAUUCGGGGUAGGCGGCCAUCCCUGCGUUCACCUCGGUGAUGGUCAGAUUUGUUGUACCCAGACCUACUGCGGGAAUGCUCGAAGGAUGAGGACCGGGAGUGUGGAUGUCGUUCGUUGGAUCGCACCUCCAACUAGACAGUAGCAGCCUGAAGUCACGCUUUAGCUCAUCGGACCUGAUCUGAAUCUGGAAGGUUGUCUAAGUCGGCCACUACAGCCCCCAGGUUGGCCUGGGGUGUAGCGAGGACAUUGUUCCCGGCCUGAUUGAGGCCGGCUAGCAGAUUGCGGGCUCGCGCAUGAUGACUACGUCAUUCCCGACCACCGCCUUGGUCAUCGUUGUCAUGCUCAUGGCGCAGCUGCUGGCACUGGUCGCCUGCUACGUUAGCGAUUGCUGCAGGUUGCUAUUGGACGCCGGCUUGCUCUUGUUGAUGUCGUUCUGCACGAUUUCGGUUUCUGGCAUUACGGCCUUCUUCUUGAGAUUCCGUUUCACAAUCAUAAGGUGGUUCGUCAAUGGAGACAAUGAAGGCUUGACGAUAUGGUGUAGAUGAGUUGCUUUCGUCGUCGCUUCCAUAAGGGUUGGGUGUGAGAACGAUGCGGGGCACCUGGAAUUCACCACAAUCCGAAGACUGGGCAUUUUCGAGAGGGUUUUCAGAUCGGAUCUGAAAAACUUGGCCAAGCCUGGUGGAGUACUCGGAAGCCUAGUUCCGCAGUCCGAGCGGAGCGUCGAUGAUCCGGUCUGGAACCCUCUCCGAGAGCGAGAGCUUGUCGACUUGCUGCACAAGCGGCGUGAUGACCCUUGGAUGAAGAACCUAUUUCGCUAGAACUGAUUCGACGGAAGCUGAGUUGACAAGAGUUGCCAAGUCAACGGAAGUAGCCGAGUCGGUGGAAGUCGCCGGCUAAGCGAGCGUCGCCGAGUUGGCAGAAACCAUCGAGUUGAUGGAGAAAGUGGUCGGGAUUGAAUCCGCCAGCAUGGUCCCGAACUGGAUCUGGACCGGGUUGUCGAGGAAGUCCUUCAUGGAAAAACAACGUCGGGACGGCGGGAUGCCAUUGAGAUCACAAAAAGCAGAUCUCGCAACCCCCUCUACCUAGCGUGCCAUCUAUCGGAGUUAUGAGCCCGGCAAUCCGCCUGGGGUUACCCAAGUGGUUAAUUUAUAGGCGAGGGCGGUCACGAAACCAAGAACUUGUGGUGAUCACGAGAACACGAAGGGGACACGAGGGUUUUAAACAGGUUCGAGCCUCGAAAGAGUAAUACCCUACAUCCUAUGUGUUGGUGGAUUGUAUUGCUCAAUGAUUCGAUGCCUCAAGAGGGCGCUCUUGACCACCUUAUAUAGUCCGGCGACCAAGAAUUACAAAUCGGUUUAUACCUAAUCUACUCGGUCUUUACAUGGAAGGUAUUCUAAGUCGGAUUACAAUACGCGUCCCACAAUAUCCGGGUAGAUUUAGACAGUCUAGUUGCCUUGUCGUGCACUCCAAGUAACUUCAUGUCCUUGGCUCGCACGCCCUGGUCGGGCAGGCCUAGUUGUCAGGUUCGACCAGCAUCCUGAUCGGUGGGACCUAUGGGGUACCCAUAUCCCUCAGUUGUACAUCUUGUGAAGCGGUAGUUUCACACAAGGCUUCUUCCAUGAGCUUAAGUGAUGGUCGCAAUUCAGAAUCUCCAAGUCUCUGCCCCUGUAAACACGCCAAUCAAGUAAGGGUAAGAUACAGACGUACACUAGCAAUGGAUCAUGACAGUAAGUUAAGGAAGCGACUUGUUACAACUUGUGAGACUUUCCAUAGUUGCUGUCGGUAUCGUUCAGCACCACUAGUACAUAAUAGUGACCUGGGAAGUGGAGCUCCAACUAUCAAAGGCUUCCAUUUCGGAAAGAAAAAAGACUUCCAAGUCAAGUAAAGCGGCUAUGAACCGAGGAAGGUGGAGCUGACGCACAAAUCAAGUUGAGAACUGGAUAAACAGUAAAAAGAAAGUAGAGUAAAUUUCACAAAACAUACCUGAAGUUUAUAGUUUCUUAUACCAGAAAAACUCAAGUUUUCUGAAAUUCACCUUUUAAGAAAUGAAAAAAGAAAACGAUGAGCGCUGCUUUAUCUUUCAGCAUGCAAAAACCGGUAGCAGGUUAGGACAUAAAUCCGGCACGCAUCACCGAUGCUAGAGGAUGCAGAACAAACAUUUAACGGUUUUCCUAAGUUGCAACAACGAUUAAAUUUAUCUUGUCCAUGACGCAAUAUAACAGCACGAGCAUCCCAGGUUACAACAUUCGAAGCAUAACAGAGCCAAUAUCUAAACAUUCAACAUUCACUUAACACCAACCAUUUUGACUACAGCGCAACCAGGUUGCAGUCUUGAACAACCAUAACACUAACCAGUUCAGAACCAAAUUAUCAGUCCCGCAUUUUCACUGGUAGCAGAGCAGCUGCACUUGCUUCAGUUUUUGGAGCUGCCAUGAUCCACUUCGUCCCAUCGCCAGAUGGUGCCAUCCUCAC